Non-coding RNA from Lolium perenne, 2096 nucleotides. NCBI's taxonomy places the organism in Eukaryota, Viridiplantae, Streptophyta, Magnoliopsida, Poales, Poaceae. The record is from RefSeq and is a predicted model, not a curated record.
GCGUCCACCAUGAGCCCGUCCUCGGCUAUAAAAGCCGGCUGAGCUCCCCUCCCUCCACCACACCUCGCCACACCUCAACACUCCCCUGUCCCAGCUCACGGAAGCGCUGCGGCACGCUCCCUGCUGCCUCCCGCUCGGAGGAGCUCCAUCUCUGUCCGAGGUCCGCCUGUAGCCGCCGCCGACGUCAUUGGUCCGGGAAGUACGACGAAGAAGAAGCCAUCCGUGUCGUCGCCUGGAGGAGCAGCUGGACGUUCGGGAGGAGCUGCUGUACUGCCUCAACCCACCGACUCGCCGCCGUCACCUCUCCGUCGACCAGCGCCCUCUCCCGAUGCGAACAAUUCCGGAGAAGAAGAAGAAGAAGUGGAUUGGACAAGGAGUUUAUUUAUAUUGUUGGUAUUCUUAUUUGAUGGGGUUGAAGAAGUCCAGGGACAAAUAAGCUAACCAAGGCAAGCCAUCUUUUGAUCUCUUGCUAUUUAUCCUUCUUGUUGUGUUCAUUGCUCCAUUAUAUACUUGGUUCCUUGUAUCAUGUGUGAUGUUUGGUCCUCUACUCUAUGCAUACUUAUUCCCAAGUAUGUUGAACCCCUUGUUGAUGCUAUGCAUACUUACUCCCAAGUAUGUUGAACACCUUGUUGAUGUUACGCAUGCUUACCCUAAGCAUGUAUGCCCCCUUGACCACUUAUAUUGUCACCUUCUUAGUGGUAUGCUGAUUAACAUCAUGACCCUUGUUGAAUCAUCUUAUUUAUGAUGUCCCUAUGCAUGCUUAUCCUAAGUAUGUAUGAUCCCCUUUACACCUCAAUUAUCAUCUCCUUAGUGGUAUGAUGGCUAGCAUCAUGCCCUUGAUGUAUCUUAGUUCAUCCAUAAAACUAUAGGUUGGGAACCCCCUUGGAAAAAUACCUUGUUGAAAAGAAUUUUUGAAAACCUUGGGUGAGUUGGACUUACCCAAGCGUGUGUUUAUGAAAGGAAAGGAUCUUGGAAAAGAUGGUUGGAAAGAAAAUCUUGUUUUCAAAAACUUUGGCGUCUAAGUAUUCACCCAUGACAAUUAACCCGCGCAACCACAUUACCCUGGAGUGGGACAGGGCUUAGCUCGUAGUUUGUUCUUCUUAGCAUGGGACACCACACAACUAUACAAGGGUAAGGUUACCCCCGAGUCCGGGUUGUCGUAGGUGGAGACAAUAGUAUAACGGGAGGCCUUCGGGGCUGACCCGUCCGGAAGACACUAUGGGUCUCCUGGCUUGGCGGUGGAGCCAUGCUCAAAGUGAGGUGAGCUGCCACGGUGCCGGGGAGGUACAUACUCCAUAGGGUAGGAUCCCGUGCUAAGACGAAUAGGCGAAAGGCUAUGUCCGAGUUUUCGUCAUGGCAUAGUUGAUAUGCGGGGAUGAUGCCCACAUGAUGAACUCGCGGAUCUUGUGGGGAAAGUGUGCAAACUCUGCAGAGUCAAAUCUAUUCGAAUAGCCGUGUCCGCGGUCAUGGACGGUUGGAAUGGCUGUUGCUUAGCCUAAAGAGUUUUGUUUUAUGAAAGUGUUUGACAAAGGAAAGAAAGGAACUUGUUUUCGGAGUACCGGGAAGGUACUGGAAAGUUGUGAUGACCAUUUGGAGAUGGUCGGAAAGGAAAUAAACUCGGUUACUCCCAUCCUAGUGUUUUAUGUUGGAGAACUCUUUUGAAGUAUCUUCUUCAACAAAGAUAUAGAGAUGUCAUAGGAUCUUCUUAGUGUCCCCUUCAACUGUGAUGUUGGGAUGCUACAUCCACAAGAGAAACUAUUUCUCUUUCUCAUGCUACAUCCACAAGAGAAACUAUUUCUCUUUCUCAUGCUAUAUCCACAAGAGAAACUAACUCUCUUCUACAUGCUAUUUCCACAAGAGAAAUUAGCUCUUCCCUCUUGUCAUCUAGAUUAGCACUUGUUAUCUUGCACUCUUGCAAAGUACCUUCUUGAUGGUUUGCGAGUACAAUUCCAAAUGUACUCACGGCUUUGUCCCUGGCUAUUUACUUGGCCAGACUUGGAGGAAUUCGACAAAUGAAGAAGGAUUGGACGACGUCUAUGCGAGCUAGGAACGUUCUCCCAGUCAGUUGCCUGUAGGGUUAAGGCAGAUGACUCGGG